UUGAACGCUGGCGGCAUGCCUUACACAUGCAAGUCGAACGGCAGCGCGGACUUCGGUCUGGCGGCGAGUGGCGAACGGGUGAGUAAUACAUCGGAACGUACCCUGUUGUGGGGGAUAACUAGUCGAAAGAUUAGCUAAUACCGCAUACGACCUGAGGGUGAAAGUGGGGGACCGCAAGGCCUCACGCAGCAGGAGCGGCCGAUGUCUGAUUAGCUAGUUGGUGGGGUAAAGGCCCACCAAGGCGACGAUCAGUAGCUAGUCUGAGAGGACGAUCAGCCACACUGGGACUGAGACACGGCCCAGACUCCUACGGGAGGCAGCAGUGGGGAAUUUUGGACAAUGGGGGCAACCCUGAUCCAGCAAUGCCGCGUGUGUGAAGAAGGCCUUCGGGUUGUAAAGCACUUUUGUCCGGAAAGAAAUCGCGCUGGUUAAUACCUGGCGUGGAUGACGGUACCGGAAGAAUAAGCACCGGCUAACUACGUG
Molecule: ribosomal RNA, 483 nt
Filed under: uncultured bacterium
Lineage: Bacteria
Description: partial 16S ribosomal RNA
Rfam family: Bacterial small subunit ribosomal RNA
Source: RNAcentral